Molecule: ribosomal RNA, 551 nt
Filed under: uncultured Methanosaeta sp.
Lineage: Archaea; Methanobacteriati; Methanobacteriota; Methanomicrobia; Methanotrichales; Methanotrichaceae
Description: bacterial SSU rRNA
Rfam family: Archaeal small subunit ribosomal RNA
Source: RNAcentral
UUACUGCUAUCGAGGUUCGACUAAGCCAUGCGAGUCGAAUGUAGCAAUACAUGGCGUACUGCUCAGUAACACGUGGACAACCUACCCUCCGGACGGGUAUAAACCCGGGAAACUGGGUAUAAUCCCCGAUAGAUCUCGGUCGCUGGAAUGCCCCGAGAUCGAAAGCUCCGGCGCCAGAGGAUGGGUCUGCGGCCUAUCAGGUAGUAGUGGGUGUAGCGUACCUACUAGCCUACGACGGGUACGGGUUGUGAGAGCAAGAGCCCGGAGAUGGAUUCUGAGACACGAAUCCAGGCCCUACGGGGUGCAGCAGGCGCGAAAACUUUACAAUGCCGGCAACGGCGAUAAGGGGACCUCGAGUGCCAGGUUACAAAUCUGGCUGUCGCGAUGCCUAAAAAGCAUUGCAUAGCAAGGGCCGGGCAAGACCGGUGCCAGCCGCCGCGGUAACACCGGCGGCUCGAGUGGUAACCGUUAUUAUUGGGUCUAAAGGGUCUGUAGCCGGCCGGAUAAGUCUCUUGGGAAAUCCAGCAGCUCAACUGUUGGGCUUUCAGGAG